RNAcentral lists this long non-coding RNA (23230 nucleotides) under Marmota monax (woodchuck). The stretch from base 12705 to 12774 matches the Rfam family "tRNA". The record is from RNAcentral. Lineage: Eukaryota; Metazoa; Chordata; Mammalia; Rodentia; Sciuridae.
GUGAUUCUUUGUUUUGAAUUAGUUUUUAGUGGGCAUGAAAGGCAAGGAUGAAGCCAUGGCCAUUGGUGGGCACUGGUCUCCUUCGUUGGAUGGACCAGACCCUGAAAAAGAUCCCUCCGUGUUGAUUAAGACUGCUAUUCGUUGUUGUAAGGCUCUGACAGGCAUUGAUCUAAGUGUUUGCACACAAUGGUAAGUAUCAAUUCAUUUCUUGAUUAGAAAUAUUUAAUAGAUUUGUAGAUGUUCUUAUCGAUCAGCCUUUUCCCCUUAUUUUAGCAACACUUGUCAUGCAGGUAAUCUCAAAGGAAAAAUCCCCAUUUGUAGCAAAAGUUUAUUUGGUGCCAAAAAUGUUUUUUGGAAAAAGGAUUAAGAACUAAUCAAAAUAUACUGAAAAUUUAAAUGUUUUGUUAUGCUGUACUUUGGAAGUUUGGUUGUAUGUUGAAAAUACUUUUCAUUUCAUGUAUAGCUGGAGAAGAUCGUCAAGAGAGAACUUCAUUUCAUUAUAAUUCUUUUGUUAUUAAAUGAUGUAGUUGCUGAUUAUUUUUGUUCAGCCAUAUUUUCUCUUGAGGCUUAUUUGUCCUAUGUAUUUUAGUAUAUUUCUUGUGACUUAAUUGAGAAUAUUCUUUUUUAGCACAUGAAAUCUGAACAGCUAUCCAGCUUCUUCAGGUAUUAUCUAAAAUAUGGGUAGCUUUGUAAUCAAACUUGAAAAUGUGUUGUGGGAACUUAUUCUUUUAUUCAAUAAAAUAUUGUACAAAUGUACCAAAAGAGGAACUAUGGCUUCUAUAAUUUUUUUUUCUUUAGACCAACCUCAAGUUCUUGCAGCAAAAUUUCUUUACUUGAUGUGCUACAAGUGAACUAGGGUCUUUAAAAUGUAUUUUAGAAUUUUUUUUCCAACAUGCUUCUUCCCUUGCAACAGGUACCGUUUUGCAGAGAUUCGCUACCAUCGCCCUGAGGAGACCCACAAGGGGCGUACAGUUCCAGCUCAUGUGGAGACAGUGGUUUUAUUUUUCCCGGAUGUUUGGCAUUGCCUUCCCACCCGCUCAGAGUGGGAAACCCUCUCCCGAGGAUACAAGCAGCAGCUGGUCGAGAAGCUUCAGGGUGAACGCAAGGAGGCUGAUGGAGAACAGGCACUGAACGCUAAUCCCUUUUUCUAUUUCCGCUUCUCACAGGCACAGGAACACAGGCACAAAUGCACACCACACACUACAUAACAAACACACAUGGAGGAACAUAAGUGGUAACAGCGACUGGUAAUCCAGCUUUCAGCAGUAUAGUUGAAUGUUCUUUUCUCUUAAAAAUUCUGUCUAUUAUGCUAACGUUGAGAGUGUUGAGACCUCAAAGGAAAAUAAGUUGUGCUUAAAUUGCACAGAAUUUUGUUUCUAUCAUAGAUCUAGUUGCUGGAAUCUGGGACCAGUUGUUGAGCAAGAUUAAGUAUUAAGCCAUUUUAAACAUUUUGCCAUUUUCUAAAAUUUAAAAGAUUUUCUCUUUCAUGGUCAUCAGUUCUAGUCAUGGAUAUUUGAAAUUGGACAACCACAAGUCUGAGAGAUUUGAAAUUUCAGGCUAUGUGGCAACGUCUUUGGUACAUUUCAAAGGUCUGACUAAAUCAGUCUUUGGGUGGCUUGAAAAUUGGGGCAAGAUCACACACUGUGUGGUUAGUGGAGACCGGCAGUGUUUGUGCAUCCCUGAUAUCCUUUGUGUUGUAAUUUAUCACCCUUUUGUGUUUCACAGAUCUGGCUUUGAUUGGCUGAUGAGUGUCUUUGUGAUCAGUUAAAAAUGAUAGAAUGUAUGUACGUGGACUUGCCUAAAUAAUAACUUUAGGAGAAGACAAUCUGAAACAUUUGUGACCUUGCACAGAUCAGCAACAGACUUUUAAAAGUGAAUUAAAUUUAUUUUAAGGUUUCAAAAUAGUAAUUAUGUUCUUAACUUUGUAUAUUAGGAUGAAGAAGAAAAGGAUGAUGGUGAAGCUAAAGAAAUUUCCACUCCUACCCAUUGGUCUAAACUUGAUCCAAAGACAAUGAAGGUAACUUUGAAAAUUAUGGUUUUUAAUUUGAAAUCUCUUUAACAGGAAUACAUAACAUUGGUGAGAAUGAUGGUAGUAUGUUUUUCAAAUAAAAACCAUUCAAAAUGAAGUCUGUCUUGGCACCAUUUGGAAUCCCAGGUUCUUUGGAGGCUGAGGCAAAUUUGAGGCCAGCCCAGGUAAUUUAGCAAGACCCUUCCUCAAAUAAAUAACAAGGGCUGGAGAUUUAGCUCAGUGGGGUAAAGUCCACUUUUUUUUUUUUGGAGUUUGUCCCAGGCCCUUGUGUGCUAUACAACCACUGUACCUCUGAGCUACAUCCCCAGCCCUUUUUAUUUUAUUCUGAGACAGGAUCAUGCUACAUUGUCCAGCCUGGCCUCGAACUUGUGAUCCUCCUGCCUCACCCUGCGCCAUCAGGUCUGGCUGUUCACUGAUUUUAUAUAACUAUAAUAUAUUGCAUUUACCUGUGAAUAUAUACAUACAUGUAUAAAUUAAAAAGUGAUGUUAAAUAUCAGUCUAGCUAGUACCUGUAAAAUGCUUGCAAUUUCAAAGUACCUGUAAUAUCAGGAAUAUUGUUUUCUGGUUCAGUAAUUGACCAAGAAGGCAGAAUUUAUCACUGGGCACAGUGGCACAUGGCCUGUGUAAUCCCUGUGGCUUGGUAGGCUGAGGUAGGAGGAGCACAAAUUCAAAGCCAGCCUAAGCAACUUAGUGAGACCCUGUCUCAAAAUAAAAUAUAAAAAGGGUUAGAGAUGUGGUUCAGUGGUUAAGUACCUCUGGAUUCAAACCCUGGUACCAAAAAAAAAAAAAAAAAGGAGGUGGGAGGCGCCAGAAUUCUUACACUUAUGGGGCUGGAGUUGUGACUCAGUGGUAAAGCACUUGCCUUGCAUGUGUGAAGCACUGGGUUCAAUGUUUAACACCACAUAAAAAGAAAUAAACAAAAUAAAGGUAUUGUAUCCAUCUACAACUAAAAAAUAAAAAUUUAAAAAAGAAUAUUAAAAGAAAUAAUUUCUAAACUUACGUAACUUAAAUUCAGGGGUCAGAAAAGAAACAGGAAAAAGAUGAACUUGUUUUAAAAAUAAAUUUAAGAGUAAAAUGUAGAAUGUAUGCCUCUAAACUGGGAAGGAAAUAAUUUAAUAAUUUCUUUGAAAAUAAGUGGUUAACCUGCGUUAGUUUUUUCUUCUGGGUGUCUCUAGCCCAGUUAUCUUAGUAUUCUUUCUGCUGUUUUGUAUUUCCGAACUAUAGUCUAUGGUCAAGAUAGAGACUGAUCUUUACUUCGCCUUUUACAGUUUGUUUUUAGCAAAUGCCUUCUAGUUGACUUUUGCUCUUAGCACAAAACAAUUUUUCUACUUAGUUAGGAACAAUUUCUUUCUGGAUUUUUGUUGUUUUGUGUUUGUGGGGUUUUGGGGGGUUGGGGGGAGACUGAUUUUUUUUUUUUUUCUUUUAGUACAUAGGAUUGAACCCUGGACUACUCUAUCACCACAUUAUAUCCCCAGCACUAAUUUCAUUUUAUUUUGUUGUUUGGGUUUUUAAGAGUUAUAACACAUCUCACUUAGUGUUGAAUUUGGCCUUGACUUGUGAACCUGUUAUCUCAGCCUCCUAAGUCCUAAGUAGCUGAGGUUACAGGACCUAGCAAGGCUUGAACCUUGACUUUAAACUCAUUGGUUUUUAGUAUGUAGACAUUGUAUGUCAUAAGAAUGUUAUUUGUUGAGAGCCACAGUUUAGUCAGAAUGAUGCCUGGCAUUUUUGCCAGAGGGAAUGGUUGAAAGAUGACCCUGCCCCGGAUUAGGGCAGAUCCUGCUGGGAAUAGGGCAGCUCCAGGAUUAGGGCAGAUCCUCCUGGGAUUAGGGCGGAUCCUGGUGCCUUGGGCACUACUUUGGAGUUCCCAUUGAGUUCUCUUGGGGUUCUCAGAGAAUUGGCGCGCAGAGCAGUGUGUUCCCGGGAAGUGUGUGUAGAGUGCAGGUGAGAGUUCGGGAAUAAAGGUUGCUGUUUGAACCUACAAGGCUGUGUGCCCAGCCAGACUGCGGCAGUUAUUCUUUAAUUGCUUCCAAGUUGUCAUCGUCAAUAUCAGGUUCAUAUAGGGUACUCAAAAGAUUAUGAAAACAUUGACAAUAAGACUAAGACUAUACCCAACACUUUUUAAUUUAAACUUGAUUGUUUUGAUGUUAAGUUCUAUAUUUUAUUUUUAUUUAUUUAUUUUUUUGGUACUGAGAAUUGAACCCAGGGCCACUUUACCACUGAACUACAUUCCAUAGUCCUUUUUAAUUUUUUAUUUUCAAAUAGUCUUGAUAAGUUGUAUAGGGUCUUGCUAAGUUGCCUAGGGGUGCCUUGCCUCGACCUUGGGUUCCUCUUACCUCAUUCUCCCAUGGAGCUAGCAUUAUAGGUGUGUGCCACCACAUCCAGAUUCUGUUUUCUUUUUUGUAGGAUAUAAGUAAUGUAUUUAGUUGGUUGGUUGGCUCAAAUCAAGUUGUAUUUAAAAGUUGCAUUUUAAUCAUUUUCAUUUAACAUCUUUUUUUCUCAUGUAAUUGUUUUUCAAUUUUACAUUAUAUGUGGUUUAUGUAUUAAUACUUCUUAGAUAUUGCUUUUUAUUGAAUGUGCAGAUUCUUUACUUUUUUGAAGUGAAGGACUGUUGUAAGUAAAUCUAACAAGGUAUGCUGGUGCAACUCUGUAAUCCCAGUGACUUGGGAAACUCUGCAGCAGAAGGAUUACAAAUUCUAGUCCAGCCUCUGAAACUAAGUGAGACCCUAUCUCAAAAUAAUGUGAAAAAAGGGCUUACCUAAUACCCAAAAAGGUCCUGUGUUCAAUUCCUAGUAUUUCCAAAAAAAGGUUAAUAAUUAGUAAAUCUGUUUUUCUCCCUGAGUUCAGGAUAUUUCAUACACACACACACACACACACACACACAUAAUUUUAAUAGUUUUAUUUACUUUUGGGGGCGAGUACUAGGGAUUGAACCCAGGCACUCUAGUAACUGAGCUAUAUUCCCAGCCCCUCAUUUAUUUAUCUUUAUGUCAGCUGAGGAUCAAACCCAGUGCCUCACACAUGCUAGGCAGGCCCUGUACCACUGAGCCAUGAUCCCAGCCCCCCAGGAUAUUUCUUUAGGUAAAUUCCCAGAAAUUAGAAUUACUGGGUCAAGGGUUAGGGGGAUACAUCAGUGGCAGACCACCUGCCUAGCAUGUGCAAGGUUUUGGGUUCAACCUCUAGUACCAUUAAAAAAAAAAGAAAAGAAGAAAAAAGGAACAGUAAAAGGACUUUGAAUCAUCUUAAAAUGUUUUGAAUUAUUUUCCAAAAUAUUCUAUACAUAUCACCUGUGUGGUUUUUUUUUUUUUUUGGAUACCCAGAAUUGCACUCAGGAGUACCUAGCCACUGAGCCAUAUCCCCAGUCUUUUUUUUACCGUUUUAUUUAUUUUUUAUUUUUUGGUACUGGGUAUUGAACUCAGGGGGCACUUAACCACUGAUCCACAUGUCCAGCCCUAUUUUGUAUUUUAGUUAGAGAAAGGGUUGCACUGAGUUUGCCUAGCGCCUCAGUUUUUCAGAGACUGGCUUUGAACUCACGAUCCUCCUGCCUCAGGCUCUGGAAUUAAAGGUGUGCACCAUGUUGCCAGGCACCUUUUUAUUUAUUUUGAGACUAAGUUGCUCAGGGCCUUGCUAAAUUGCUAAGUUGGUCAGGGCCUUGCUAAAUUGUUUACUAAGGCUGUCCUUGAACUUGAGAUCCUCUUGCCUCAGCCUCCCAAGAGGAUUAUAGGCAUGCACCAGCACGUCUGUCUUUUUUCAUAAAAUUUUUUUUUUUUAAAUCAGGUAAAAGUAUAUAGUUUGUUUACAUCUCAUUUUCUUUUUCUAUGUUUUUAUGUUGCAUACAUUUAGGUAAAUGAUCUCCGAAAAGAAUUAGAAAGUCGAGCCCUUAGUUCCAAAGGAUUAAAAUCCCAGUUAAUAGCUCGAUUGACAAAACAACUUAAAGUAGAAGAACAAAAAGAAGAACAGAAGGAAUUAGAGAAAUCUGAAAAAGAAGAGGAAGAAGAGGAUGAUAGGAAAUCUGAAGAUGAUAAGGAGGUAUUUAUUCAGCAUUUGAAUAUAGUUGUAUUGGUAUUUCUCUUAGUAUGUUGGGUGUUCGUGGAAUAUAUGACUUCACUUUGUGUGUGUGUGUGUGUAUUGUUUUAUUAAGGUAUGUAAGGUAAAAGUAGAAUUUUUUCCCACAGUUGCUUUACCACUGAGCUAAAUCCCACAAUUCUUUUUAUUUUUAUUUUAUUUUAUUUUUUUAAGUUUCAUUUAAAAUUUUUUUUUUUUUAAGUUAUCUAUGGACUUAAUGCCUUUAUUUGUUUUUAUGUGGUGCUAGGAUCAAACCCAGCGCCUCACACUUGGGAAGCAAUGCUCUACCACUAAGCUUACAACUCCAGCCCCCCUUUUUAUUUUUUGAGACCGGGUUUUUUCACUAAUGAGCUGAAGGUGUCCCUAAGUUGUUGAGGCUGACCUCGAACUUGUACUCCUGCCUCAGGCUUCUAUGUAGCUGGGAUUACAGGCAUGUGCCACUGCACCUAUCUAAAAAUUCAUACCUGUAAUGAAUAGUUCUGCAAUUUUUUAAAAUUAUUCUAAUUAGUUAUACAUGACAGUAGAAUGCAUUUUUUUAAAAAAUAUUUUUUAGUUAUAGUUGGGCAUAGUACCUUUAAUUUUUAUUUGUUUAUUUUUAUGUGAUGCUGAGGAUCGAACCUAGCUCCUCGCAUGUGCUAGGCGAUCGCUCUACCGCUGAGCCACAACCACAGCCCCUAGAAUGCAUUUUGACAUAUGAUACAUAUAUGGAGUAUAACUUCUCAUUCUUGUUGUACAUGGUAUAGAAUCAUACCAAUCAUUUAAUCAUAUGUACAUUCGGUAAUAAUGUCCGAUUCAUUGAACUAUCCUUCCUACUUCUAUACCCUGUCUCCUCUCUUCACUCCCCUCUGCCUAUCCAAAGCUGUUCUUCCCUAACCCCCUGCCCUCAUUGUGAAUUAGUAUCCACUUAUCAGGAAAAAACAAAAACAAAAACAAAAACAUUCAGCUUGAGUUCCAAUGAAAUGCUCAUGCCCUAAUUGUGAUGCUUCUAAAGUAAUAUGUUUGAUUGGAUUCUACUCAAGAAUAGACAAAUUAUUCAAGCUAUUUUGUACCUCAGUUUUAUAUCUAAUACAUUUAUUCCUUAGUGCAUAAGCUUAUUGUGUUCUCUGAAUUUGAGAGCUAGUGUGUUUUAGCCCCAGUAAUUGGAUAAACCCUUAGGGUUUUUAAAUGUGAUGUAUUAUAAAAUACCCAUCCACAAUUCCUAAAGUAGUUCUUCGAGAAGUAUGUGACAUAGAUCAAAUUGUAAGGAAAACAAUUGGGUAAAUCUGAAAAGUGAAAAAAAUUUUAUAAAGCAAGUUGUGUGAACUUUUCAGAAUGUAUCCACAUUAAAGAAAGAAACUUAGGAGCUGUCUUAGAUUGAAGAAGGUUAGUGAAUGUGACUGGAUCUGGGCUAGGGAAAAAAUGUCAUUAAGAAUGGUAUAUGGGCUGGGGAUGUGGCUCAAUCGGUAGUAGCGCUCUCGCCUGGCAUGCGUGCAGCCCAGGUUCGAUCCUCAGCACCAUAUACAAACAAAGAUGUUGUGUCUGCCGAAAACUAAAAAAUAAAUAUUAAAAUUCUCUCUCUCUCUCUCAAAAAAAAAAAAAAGACUGGUAUAAUUGGAGCCAGGUGUGAUGGCACAUACCUGUAAUCCCAAUGGCUCAGGAGGCUAAGGCAGGAAUCAGAGUUCAAAGCCAGCCUCAGCAAAAAGUGAGGCGCUAAGCAGCUCAGUGAGAUCCCGUCUCUAAAUAAAAUACAAAAUAGGGCUGGAGAUGUGGCUCAGUGGUUGAGUGUCCCUGAGUUCAAUUCCCAGUACUGGGGGGAAAAAAAAGAACAGUAUAAUUGGAGAAAUUUGAUUGUAUAUGUAGUUGUUACAUUAGAUAUUAUUGAAGUUUUAUUAAAUUUUGUGGAUGUGAUAAUGGUUUUGUGAUUAUGUAGGAGAAUUACCUUUUUUUAGACAAUACAUGAACUUGUGAUUUCUUAUCAAUUGGCAGGUAAAGUACUUAUUUUGGUGAUAACAUUUUUUCAGAAUUGACCAGUGGGAACCCUUUUAAGUUAUAUGUCCUUUUGAUAUAUCCUCAUCAUUUUUUGAAGGAUUUCUUACUUUUUGGCCUGAUAGGAUGUUUCAGUCUUAUUGUGUACAUUUCUCACUUUUGGUCUUCAGUCUCUUAUGGUCAGGAACCCAAAGAACCUGGUGUGGUGGUACACACCUGUAAUCCUAUUUACUAGGGAGGCUAAGGCAGGAGAAUUAUAAAUUCAAGGUCAGCCUGUAUAACUUAGUGAGACUGUUUCAAAAUGAAAAAAAUAAUGGGCUAGGAAUAUUGGGUAGUAGAAUGCCCCUGGGUUCAAUCCCCAGUACAGCAAAAAAAAAAAAAAAAAAAAAAAGAUAUCCAAAAGAAAGAAUUCGGACCCACAAAAGCUACUACCCUUAGUAAAUUUGAACUGUUCUCUUUUUUUCAAUCCUUAUAGUUGUUUUGGUCACUCUAAAGAAUUUUAGGUAUUUUGCCGUUUUUCUUUAUAUGGUAUACAUUUUUUGAAUACAUACAUAUUGUACAUGAAGGUUUAAACCAUGAACUAAAAUUUCAAAAUCCAGGAGGAAGAAAGAAAACGUCAAGAGGAAAUGGAACGCCAGCGUCGGGAAAGAAGAUACAUUUUGCCUGAUGAACCAGCCAUCAUUGUGCAUCCAAAUUGGGCUGCAAAAAGUGGCAAGUUUGAUUGUAGCAUCAUGUCUUUGAGUGUCCUUUUGGACUACAGAUUAGAAGAUAAUAAAGAACAUUCAUUUGAGGUAAUGUUUUAUCUUUGAAUCAGGAUCCAGAUAAGGUCCACAUAUUGUGUGUCUCUUAAAUCUCUUUUUCUCCCAGUUGCUAAUUAGGAAAAUCAAUAGUUUAUUCUAUAAAGUUUCAUAUAAAUUACUUUUGUUGAUUUUUUUAAUCCUAUGGUAUAGUAAUACCACUGAAAUAUGCUUGUGUCCUCUGUAUUUUCUAUAAAUUGAUAGUUAGAUCUAAAUUCUUAAUCAAGUUGUGGGCUUUUUUUUUUUUCUUUUAAAAAAGAAAUUUGAACUUUUUGAAGAAUCUGUUGAAAUCCUGAAUAGCUUUAGAACUAUUUAGAUAAGCCCAUGCAUGGUGGUACAUACCUGUAAUCCCAGUAACUCAAGAGGAUUGUAAAUUCAAUGCCAACUUGGGUAAUUUAGCCCUGUCUCAGAAAGAUUAAAAAGGAGAGGACAUGUUGCUCAGUUGCAGAACAGCCCUGGGGUUUGGUCUCCAGUGCUAUAAAUAUUAAAUAAAUAAGUAUAUUUUAGUGUAUAAGUUGAUGAAUAUGUGGUAGCUCUUACCAUGGCUCUCUGCAUAAUAAUAAUAAUGGAUAUUCCAUACUCAGGGUUUUUAAUUGUUUUAAAUGCCUGAAAUGUUCUUCUAGAUAUCUUCAUAAUUCAUUUAUUCAUUGCCUUCUAGUCACUUUUUUGUCGGGUGGAGGGUACUGAAGGUUGAACCCAGGGGUGCUUAACCCACUGAGACACUUCCCCAACCCCUUUUGAAUUUUAUUAGAGACGGGAUCUUGCUGAGUUGCUGAGGCUGGCAUUGAAUUUGCAAUCCUCCUACCACAGCCUCCUAAACUAAUGGGAUUACAGGCCUGUGCCACCAUGCCCAGCUCUCUGGUCACUUUUUAAAUGUCAGAAAGAGACCUUGUCUAACUACUCUUUCUCACUUUCUUUUUAUAAAAUACAUGCUAGGCAAGUGCUUUACCACUGAGUUGCAUCCCAGUCCCUUUAUAUGCUUGUUUUUCUUGUAAUUUGAUAUUAAUUGGGUUAUUUCUUAUACUAGGUUUGUUACCUUUGUGCUGAAAUAAAAUUUUUUUUUUUCUUUUCACUGCUGUAUUCCCAGCCCAUGGUACAUAGUAGGCAUUUGAUUAAAAACUUAUUGACUGGGUCUGUAGUCAUAGCUUAGUAGCAGAGAGCUUACCUAGCAUGUGUGAGGCACUGGGUUUAAUCCUCAGCACUACAUAAAAAUAAAUAAAUUAGCUAAAGGUAUUGUGUCCAUCUACAACUAAAAAAUAUUAAAAAAAAAAAAGUAUUGACCAACCAAUGGAAAUAUAAACAAACCCUUAUAGAAUAAAUAAAGUAUUGUGAAGAUUAAUAGUUUCGUUAGGAGUAUAGAAUUCUUUUUUUCUUUUCAGAUUUUCUAUAGUAGAUUACUUAUUAUAGUAUUUGACUAAAACUGUACUAACCUAAUAUUUUAUAUCUUUGAAACAUUGUUUCAGCAUUUUGAGUCUUUGACAUCAAUUAUUAUAACUAUAUUCUAAAUGUACUUAAUAGAUUCAGCAAAUAUUUAUUAAAAUUACUAACUGCUAGAUUUAAUAUUUCUGUUGCAUUUGUGUUAAUUUUCAUAUCUUUUUAUAGGUUUCAUUGUUUGCAGAACUUUUCAAUGAAAUGCUUCAGAGAGAUUUUGGUGUCAGAAUAUACAAAUCAUUACUCUCUCUUCCUGAGAAAGAGGACAAAAAAGAAAAGGAUAAGAAAAGCAAAAAAGAUGAGAGAAAAGAUAAAAAAGAAGAAAGAGAUGACGAAAAUGAUGAGCCAAAACCCAAACGGAGAAAAUCAGGAGAUGAUAAAGAUAAAAAAGAAGAUAGAGAUGAAAGGAAGGUCUGUAAUUAUUUCCAUAAUUUCUUCUUUUAGAUUGUAACAAAUGAUGUUAUUUCCAUCAGAAUAUUAAAAUAUGAAGCCAAACUUAUACUUUAGAAAAUUUGUCUUUUAAUUAAGCCAAUUCCCCAAACUGCUGAGGGCCUUAAUAAGUUGCUAAAUUGGUCUCCAAUUUGAGAUUCUCCUUCCUCAGCCUCCUGAGUUGCUGGGACUAUAGGCAUGAGCCACCACUCCCAGCUAUUGUUACUCUUAAAUGUAUUACUUUAUGGAUGCUGUGGUUAUGGCUCAGUAGUAGAAUGCUUGCCUGGCAUGUGUGAGGCACCACAUAAAAAUAAUUAAUUAAAUAGAGAUAUGAUGUCCAUUAUACAACUAAAAUAAAAAAGCAUUCCUUUUUUAAGAAAUUUGUAGUUUGAAACUAUUUUAAGUAAAUACCUUUUUUUGGUGAUGCUGGGAUUAAAACCCAGCGCGUUGCACACAUGCUAGGCAAAUGCCCUACCUCAGCUACAUCCCCAGUCCUUUAAAUAAAUAAAUGUAAUGGACUUAAUGUUUUCUUAUUAAAUUUUAAAUUACAGAAAGAAGAUAAAAGGAAAGAUGAUUCUAAAGAUGAUGAUGAAACUGAAGAAGAUAAUAAUCAUGAUGAAUAUGACCCAAUGGAAGCAGAAGAAGCUGAGGAUGAAGAAGAUGGUAUGAUUCAAAUUUUCUUAUUACUGAUUAUGUUUGAAAAAACAUUUGUUUGCUGACUUUGUAUCAGUGAAAUCUAUGAUUUUAAUAUUUUUUAUUAGAAAGUUAAAAUAUUCUCUAAUGAAAAUAUAUUAAGUAAUUGUUGUUUACUAAUUUUUAGGUGAGAAGGCUAUAUUUUGGUGCUUUUGGUUUUUUAUUUUUUAUACUACUGGUAAUUGAACCCAAGGUCUACAAAAGCUCCACAAGUGCUCUAACCAUUGAACUGACAGGGUCUUGCUAAUUUUCACAGACUGGACUUGAACUUGAAAUCCUCCUGCCUCAGCCUCCCAAGUAGCUGGGAUUACAGGUGUACACAUAUGCCCAGCCAGAAUAUAUUCUUCGAAAAAUAAUUUGGUUUAUUUUUAUUUUUUAAGUGAAUACUAUCAUCAUGCAAUGAGUAUAUAUUUAUGGUUUAAAUACUAUUAAUAAUAAUUACCCAUGGUACCUAUUAACCUAUGUCUUAAAAACCAUGUAGGGGCGGGCUAAGGUUGUGGUAGAGCACCUGCAAGAAAGGGUCUUGCGGAGUUGCUUAGGGUCUUUCUAAGUCGCUGAGGCUGGGUUUUCAAUACACCUGCCUCAGCUUUUCAAGUUGCCGGGAUUACAGGCAUGUGCCACCAUGUCUGGCUGACACUCUAAAUACUUUCUAGUUGGGCUGGGGGUGUGGCUCAAGCGGUAGCGCGCUCGCCUGGCAUGCGUGCGGCCCGGGUUCGAUCCUCAGCACCACAUACAAACAAAGAUGUUGUGUCCGCCGAGAAUUAAAAUAAAUAAAUAAAUAUUUUAAAUAAAUAAAUAAAUAAAUACUUUCUAGUAAACAUUCUGAUCAGUAAUAGAUGUUGGCCAUAAAGUAUCUCUGUGUAAUGCCUUACCCAUAUCUCUUUAUGUUGAUGUGACUUGAGAAUUUUGUCUUUUUCUCAUAUCAGAAAACUAAAAACUUUUUUUUUUUAUUAACUGUAUCUAUGGAUGAUACUUCUUAUUAUUAAAGGUUAUUUUGGUUUGCAGCUUUUGGGUUUUUUGGUAGUGGGGAUUUAACCCAGGGGCGCUUUACCACUGGGCUACAUCCUCAGUCCUUUAUUAUAUAUAUGUAUUUUUUAUUAUGAGACAAAGUCUCAAAGUUCCUGAGGACCUUACUGAGUUGCCAGGGCUCACUGUGAACUUGAUAUCCUCCUAUCUCCACCUCCCCAGUUGCUGGGAUUGUGGGCAUGUGCCACCCUGACUGGAUCAUCACAUUUUCUUCUCAUGUCAUUUCAUUUUUCUUAUUGAUGAAAAUAUUCACAUAAAAUGUUGAGGGGGCUGGGAAUAUAGUUCAGUUGGUAGAGUGCUUGCCUCACAUGCACAAGGCUCUGGGUUCAAUCCCCAGCACCAAAAAAAUAAAUAAAAUGUUGAGAGAAUUGUACAGUGAACACCCAUAUGUCUUCCAAUUAGGAUUUAAUAUUCAUUAAUAUUUGACUUAUUUGUUUUGUCUUUUUUCUGAUCCAUUUGAAAGUAUGAAUUCUUCAACUUACUUGGGAGGCUGUGGAAGGAGGAUCACAAGUUUGAGGCUAGCAUUAGCAAGUUAGUCCCUAAAACUUAAUGAAACCUUUUCGCAAAAUAAAAAACAUAAAGGAGAUGUAGCUCCAUUGUAAUGUGCUCCUGGGUUCAGUUCCCAGUACCAAGAAAAAAAAAAGCUUAGGAAAGAAAGGACAUACUUAAUCCCACAAUCAUACCUUUAUUAUGCAAUAAUGCCUUAAUAACACUUAAUACCUGUUUUUUCUUUGCCCUAAUAAUAGCAAUGAGAUGAUACACAUACACCAAUUUUGCUUCAUAUCUCUUCUGUUGUUACAUGGCGCAGUGCAAACUUAGCCCUAUUACAGCCAUAUUUCCUCCCCAUAUUGUUUUUUUUUUUUUUUUUAAAGAGAGAGAGAGAGGGAGAGAGAGAGAAUUUUUUUAGUAUUUAUUCUUUAGAUUUCGGCGGACACAACAUCUUUGUUUGUAUGUGAUGCUGAGGAUCGAACCUGGGCCGCACGCAUGCCAAGCGAGCGCGCUACCGCUUGAGCCACAUCCCCAGCCCCCAUAUUGUUUUUUGUUGUUGUUGUUUGUUUGUUUAUUUUGGGGGGGCAGGGGUUACUAGGGAUUGAACUCAAGGGCACUGGACCACUAAGCCACAUCCCCAGCCCUAUUUUAUAUUUUAUUUAGAGACAGGGUUGCUAAACACGUUGCUUUUGCUGAGACUGGUUUUGAACUAACCAUCUUCCUGUCUCAGCCUCCCAAGCACUGGGAUGUAGGUGUGUGCUACCUCACUCAGCUCCAAGUCCAGUGUUUUUUUUGUUGUUGUUUUGUUUUUUUAAGGUACUGGGGAUUGAACUCGGGGCCACUCAACCACUGAGCCACAUCCCCAGCCUUAUUUUCUAUUUUAUUUAGAAACAGGGUCUCAGUGAGUUGCUUAUUGCUUCACAGUUGCUGAGGCUGGCUUUGAACUUGCGAUUCUCCUAUCUCAGCCUCCCAUGCCACUGGGAUUACAGGUGUGUGCCAUUACGUCUGGCUACAAGUCCAAUUUUUAUCAUACCAAUUUUUAUAAAAUACAUAUUAGUUUCAGAAAAAUUAGAUUUAAUUAAGAGUUAGUCAUAUUUUUUUCUUUUUUUUUUUAAUUGUUAAAUUUUUCCCCCUUACAAUAGCCUCUAAAUUUGUAGGUCCACCCCAUACUGGUCCUAAAAGAUCUCUUGGAUUCUGUAAUGCCUCCUCUAAACACAGCUGUCUGCCUGAGCAGAUUUUUUUUUUUCAAAGCUCUGUUGUCCUCUGGUGGAUGAUUGACGAAUUGCAUUGUCCACUCUUCCACUUUUGGAGAUUUAGUUUCAUCUGAAGCCUGCAAUACCCUUUCACCGUUCCUAUGUUUAAAACUUUUUGUAAAUCCAAUUUGAGGGUCCCACUUAACGCUUUGAGAGUCUAUCUACUGCUGAAGAUUUUGUCCAGUUCAUGAUUUCAAACUGACUCCACCCCAUCUCCUUGUGGACAAAUUUGAUCUCGUUCUCUGGAGUCAUUAACUUGAAAUUGAAUGCUGUAGUAAAUUCUGCUGCAACCAAUGUCCAGCCUUCAACAGUGCAACACUUAUUAAAGGAAGUCUCAUAAUUCUCGUUGUUUUGUGUAAACAUAGAUAACGCCACUCCAUCCUCUGGAGUUCCUAGUGCUUUUACAGCACUCAGAUUGGAUCCUGAAGAGAAGGUAUUUUUUGGGGAUGUGGCUCAAGGGGUAGCGUGCUCGCCUGGCAUGUGUGCGGCCCAGGUUCGAUCCUCAGCACCACAUACAAACAGAGAAGGUAUUUUUUGUCCCACAGAUAAUGAGGCUUUUCCCUUCCAUCCAGUUUUCCAACUCACUUGCAAAUAUUGUAGCAUCAUAAAUCUCAAAAGGCAUUAAUUUCAGUGGUAUUGUUCAGAGUAACAAUGCCAAGUCCAUUUUCUUCCUUUUGCAGAUCCAACAUAUCUACCAGGAAACCACUAAAGCAUCACUUCUUCAUGAAAGCCAUGAGAUGUAAUAAAGUGAUACUGCCCCUCAGUGUAGUAGUUUUGUCCUUACAGAGAUGAUGGCUUCAAAAGACUUAUUAUUUUUAAGUUGGAACAAGGCUUUAAAGGUUUUCAGAAAUCAAAUAAGUGCUUUGAAGUUAGGCCUUUUUAUACUUUAAAAAAAUGUUAAAUGUGGUAUUUCUCCACCUUCCCUGAAAAGUUUUUCAGCACCCUCCUGUACCUCUGUAUAAACCACUCCUUUCCCAUUCCCAGGAGGGUACAUUGGGCUUCAGCUGCCAUCUAGCUGGGAAGCCUGGAGGCUCUCUGUGUGAGGGUCACUGGGAAAGGUGCUAACAUCCAUUCCACAACCACCUUCUGGGAUUCUCUUCCUUAUGACGCUUUUAAAAGUUAUGACCAGCUCUUAAAUAGAGCCCUGGAGGUCUCUGGGGUGACUUCCCUUUCUGCUUUCCUCGAUCAUCUUAAUUAAAAACAUCUCAGUUUCUCAUGUAGUUUUUCCUUUUGGGUUCUAGAAAAUAUACUUCACCUUGUUUGCUCAAGUUUGUGUUAUGUUUUUCAAUUUUAUCUAUAGAGUUAAUUUUAUCUUUUGAAAUAUAUCCUUCAGAUAUUUGUAAAAUUAAGGCCAUUUAAUUGAUUUAAUAAAGUCAGUUUGGUGCUGAUAGUGACAAGAAUGCUUGCCUGUCAUAUGCAAGGCCCUCAGCAUUGCAAAAAGAAAUAAUGAAAUCAAUUUGUCCCUCUAGUUUUUCUCCCAUCCCCAGUAGUGGGGAUUGAAUUCAGGGGUCUCUACAAGUAAACUACAUCCUCAGCCCUUUUUCUUGUUUGGAGAAAGGGUCUCACUAAAUCAUCUAUGCUACCCUCAACUUUAUAAUCCUCUUGUCUCAGUUUUCCAAGUGAGAUUACAUUCAUGUACCAUUGUGCCUGAUCACCCGAUAUAUUCUUCCUCUUAUUUUUUGUAAUUUUUUUUUCACAUCUACACUAUUUUUAUUUAUAUAUUUAUUUGAUUAAUUUGAAAAUUUGUUCUGUAGUGGAGGAAUAGUAUUUUUUUUGUUUGUUUGUUUGUUUUCUGUGGUGCUGGGGAUUGAACCCAGGGCCUUGUACAUGCAAGGCAAGCACUUUACCAACUGAGCUAUAUCCCCAGCCCAUGGAGAAAUAGUUUGUUUCUACAGUAGUUAAAAAUAUCUCUGUUAAUGAGUUUUUGCUGCUCUUACAUUUAUUUUUAUAGAUCGGGAUGAGGAAGAAAUGAACAAACGGGAUGACAAAAGAGAGAUCAACAGAUACUGCAAGGAAAGGCCUUCUAAAGAUAAGGUAUUUAUUGAAUAUUGUAUUCUUUAUAAUGUGAUGAUUUGUAUAUUUUACAUAAUUAAAUUUGAUUUUAAAAUAUAUCACAGUCAUGAAGUUUAUUAGUCUUCAUAUGCCUACAUACAACCACUUAGCAAAAUGCAGUUGAUGGGUUUUUGGUAUUUGGGACUGUCAUAUAACCAUUUUGUUUGAUUUUCUUUCUCUCAUAUUCAUAUAACAAAUGAACUUAUUUUAUUAGGAUGAAAUAAUGAUCUUUUAAGAUUGUUGCUAUUAUACUGACAUAAUUUCUUGUUUUUCAAUUGGAAAAAAGUAUAUACUAUCUUUUAUUUCUGUAUUUUUUUUAGGAAAAAGAAAAAACUCAGAUGAUCACAAUUAACAGGGAUCUAUUAAUGGCCUUUGUUUAUUUUGAUCAAAGCCAUUGUGGUUACCUUCUUGAAAAGGAUUUGGAAGAGAUACUCUAUACUCUUGGAUUACAUCUUUCUCGGGCUCAGGUAAUCUAUUCUGUGAAUUUAAAAUAAAAACCGUUUUUAUUACCAUUUUUUUUUUCUCCCUGUGCUGGGGAUAGAACCCAGGACUUGCUAAUGCAAGUGCUUUAGCACUGAAACUGCCUCUCCUGUAACUUUUCAAGAAGUUACUUUUUUUUGGUACCAGGGAUUGAACCCAGGGGUGCUUAACCAGUAAGUCACACCCCCAGCCUCCAGCCCUUUUUAUUUUUAUAUUGAGAUAGGGUCUCACUAAGUUGUUUAAGGCCUCACUAAGUUGCUGAGGUUGGCACUAAAUGGCCUCAGCCUCUUCAGUGAAUGGGAUUACAGGUGUGUAUCACCACGUUUGGCUAAGAAGUUACUUUUCAAAGAAAAUAUAAAUAGAAUAAGUUAAUGUAUUCAAUUCCAUAGGUAGGUGCUCAUUUUUUUUUACAUCUCUAUUGACUUUUUCAUUUAAAAGAAACAUAAUAGAUAUAAAUUGUAAGAGUCAAGCAAUACUGAAAUUUAUAAAGUAAAAAGGUUAAAAGCCCCUCUUUGCUCUUCUACUCCUCAGGUCCAGCACAUAACCUUCUAGAUUUUUUUGUAAUCAACUGUUUCAUUUUUAUAAACAUAAUAUGAAAUUAUGUUAUACAUAUUGAUGGAACUCUUUUAAAAUUUUCUAAUAUAUCCUGGACAUUUGUACCAUGAAAAUUCAGAUCUCAUUCUCAUAGCUGCAUAGUAUUCCAUUAUAUAGAUGUAUCAUUUAUGUAACUACUCCCUUAUUGCUUAUGGUUUUCAUAUUUUGGAAUUAUAAACUUAUGCUGUAAUAGACACCCCUUGUUACAUUUAUUUUAAUAUAUAUGUUAGUGUUUCUAAUAGUGUUACAAUUUUUUUUUUAAAUACUACGUUUUUUUAAAAGAAUAUUUUUAAAAUUUUUUGUUCAAUUUAAAACAUAUUUAUAUUUAUGUAUUUGACUUUGGGAGGAAAAAUUAAGUAGGGUUCACAAAAUUUUGAAGUAAAUUUGGAGAUUUUAGCAAGUGAUAAAAUAUCUACAAAAGUGUCCUGUGUCACAGUAUAUAUCUAAUAGCUCCAUAAAACAAAAACUUACAUUUCAGGCCAGGAAUUUUUAGGUUUCACCUCUUGCCAAUGUUUUUUCCCCCUCUAACUGGUGUAGUGUUACAAUUUUUAACAAUUAAAUUUAUUUUUCAAAUAUAACUUGGAUGUGAUUGAGUAGGAAUGGAUACCUGAGAAAGCAGUUUCCACAGAUGUUCUUCAUUUCUAAAAAUUAGAACACAGUUGUUCAAGGAAAAUCAAAACACAUUUUCAUCUUUUUAAUGUGUUUACUUGCUUAUAUUAUAGGUAAAGAAGCUUCUUAAUAAAGUAGUUCUCCGUGAAUCUUGCUUUUAUCGGAAAUUAACAGACACUUCAAAAGAUGAAGAAAACCAUGAAGAGUCUGAAUCAUUGCAGGAAGAUAUGUUAGGUUUGAGUAUAUUGAAAUCUUGCGUUUUUAUAAAUAUUCAUUAGUUUAAAAAAAAAAAUCUUACUAAAGUGUAUUGUCUUUUAUUAUAGGAAAUAGGUUGUUACUGCCAACACCAACAGUAAAGCAGGAAUCAAAGGAUGUGGAAGAAAAUGUAGGACUCAUUGUGUACAAUGGUGCAAUGGUUGAUGUAGGAAGCCUUUUGCAAAAAUUGGAAAAGAGUGAAAAAGUAAGGGCUGAAGUAGAACAGAAGCUGCAGUUACUAGAAGAAAAAACAGGUGAGGGACAAUAUGAAUAUGUUAGUACUUUUAAAGCUCUGUUUGUGUGUGUGUGCACGCACACACAUACCUCACAUUUUGCUUUGGACAGUGUAUAACUCUACUUUCAUCUGUUUCUAUUGGAGACAAUAAAAUCACUUAGUUUUGUAAGAAUUUUUCUUGUUCAAUGGGGUGUAGUGGGGCAUGCCUAUAACUAGAGAGGCCACUGUAGGAGGAUCACAAAUUUGAAGGCAGCUUAACAAGACCCUGUCUCAAAAGUAAAAAGGGCUGGGGAGGUAUCUUGGUGGAUAUUAGUUGUUCAUUCUCAGGUUCACUUGAUAUUCUGUUCUAUCCUUUCAGACCUCUGCUAGUUCCACUUACUUUUUAUUGGUUCCUAUUUUUGCUAGUUUGUUGCAGUCAUCUAAAAAUUGAAACUGGGUUUAGAAAUACUAGUAACUAAAACUUAAUUUCAAUAAAAACAGUAUUGCAUUGUGCUUUAGGUAACUAAUGAAGUUGGUAUUUAUGGGCAUUUUAAAGAAUUGCAUCUGCUUUUUAUUUUCAUAGCUUAAGUAUUUUUAACCUCAAGCUAUACUGGAAAUUAUAGGGGUUCAAGAGGUUUGUUUUGGACUUUUUUUUUUUAAUAGAUGAAGAUGAAAAAACCAUAUUAAAUUUGGAGAAUUCCAACAAAAGCCUCUCUGGUGAACUCAAAGAAGUUAAAAAGGACCUUAGUCAAUUACAGGAAAACUUAAAGGUUUCAGAAAACAUGAAUUUGCAAUUUGAAAACCAACUGAAUAAGACAAUCAGAAACUUGUCUACAGUAAUGGAUGAAAUCCACACUGUUCUCAGAAAGGUUUGAAAUUUUAUACUUUCAACAUUUUCAGAGUUUAUUUAAAUUUUAAAAACUAUUCAUAGCAUUUUUAAUGUACUUUAAUGUUAUUUUGCUCUUUGUAAAAGCUUUUCCUAGAAGCAAAUGAUAGCAUUCCAUCUUCUUGAAACUAGUCAAAAGUAAUUCCCCAAAGAUUAUAUUUUUCUAAAAUUUAAUGAUGAAUGUCAGUAUGGUUUAUGUGUACAGAUUUUUUUUGAGGUUGACCCCAAAUUUAUUUUUUUAUUCACACAGAUUUCAGAUAUGUUAUUGUAUUUAAUCAUCACAGUAUCCCUAUUAGUUAAGCAUUGUUUUAUUUUUUUUAAAUACACGACAGCAGAAUGCAUUUACAAUUCUUAUUACACAUAUAGAGCACAAUUUUUCAUAUCUUUGUAUAUAAAAUAUGUUCACACCUGUGUGUACAGAUUGUCUGAAGCAAAUGUUGAACUGGAGAUGUGGCUCAGUGAUAGAGUGUAUGCCUAGCAUUAUGUGAGGCCCUGUGAUUAGUCCCUAGCACCACAAAAUUUAUUUGUAUUUCUUUCUAAACCAAAGAGUAUUUUUGAAGUAAGAUAUGAAAUCAUUUGGUUCUUUUAAACCAUUUAUUGUGAGGCAGAAUUUAAGAAAAUUCUUUGGCAUCAGAUAUUAAUCGCUAUAAAAAUUUUAUAAUUGAAUUACAUUAUAAAAUACCUUCAAAUAACAUGUAAGAAAAUCUAAUAAAAUAUACCUUUUCCUUAUCUAUUAUUUUACAGGAUAAUGUAAAGAAUGAAGACAAAGAUCAGAAAUCUAAGGAGAAUGGUGCAAAUGUAUGAUAAAAUUUGUGUCGUGAUGAAAAAUGCUGUUAAAUAAUGUAAUAUAUAAAAAUCAUGAUACAAGAAUGUUUGAAGGUGAUGCAUGUUUUAGUAGUAUAAAUUCUGUUAGUUCAAAUGGUGUAUAAAGUUUUAUGAAUGUUGAGUCUGCUUUUGAAAAUUGCUUGUAAUUUCUAGCAUUCAAAUUAUUAAACACUCCUUGAGUGAAAUAAUUUUGCAUUGCAAAAUGUUUUAGGAUGAACUUUGUUAUAGUUUUAACCCCAAUAAAGUUCAUCAAUUUACUUGACAGUAGUAUUUAAUUACCAAAUGUCUUUUAUUAAAAUGCCUAAAUUUUUUUUUGUUUUUUAUGCAUAAAAGUUUUUUAUUUUAUUUAUAGAAUUAUCAUUAUUUACCUUUUAAUUUUGUAGUCCAUCUUUUAAAACUUCACUAUAAAUCAUAAAAUAGCAAGCUGCUUACUUUUUGGACCAGAAAUAUUUUUACUCUUCACCAAAAAUCCCCUCUAGUUAUCAAUAUCUAAAAACAUUGUUAAAAAUUCAGUUCACCCAAAAGACAGUUCAUUAAGAACUAAGAAAGCAGUAGACAACUGGUGUUGGUAUUUUGUUUGUUAGGCUUUACGUAAAAUUCAUAGACCUGAUGUUAAUGUUAACUGUUAACUGCUUUCAAUUAAUUGUUCUACUUUCCCAGAGUAGCACUUCUAUUACUUUUAAUUAUGAGGGUUUCUUUUUAAAAAAUUCAGUGUAUGUCAAAUGUACAGUUUAGUACCAAACCAAUAGAUGUCAGUAUGAUGCCUUAAGUUAAAUUUUUAAUUAAAAAUAAUUUUUUUUUCUUAGUCUGUGUAUGUACUUAAGAGUUUCAGAGGUGUUUAAGAGUUCAUGUAACUGUUGAGUGAAAAAAAGAAGGAAAUGUGAUGUACUCUGCAACAGUGGUUUUCAACAGGAUGUGAAUUUAUCCUUCAGAGGGCAUUUGGCAAUGUUUGGAGAUCUUUUUAAGCAAUUGGGUGGGGGGCUACUUGCAUCUAUUUGUUAGAGACUAAGAAUGCUGUAUAGGACAGUCCCCCACAAUGAGGAAUUAUUCAGUCCAAAAUGCCAGUAGUGCCCAAUUUGAAAAAUCCUGCACUUAAGGAAUAUAAGGUUAAACAACAUUUUGUCUUUAUAAAAUUAUACUUAGGGAAAACUUAGCUGAAUCUGUAGAUGAUUAUUUUUUUAUACUUACAAAACUCGAAGUGGAAUGUUUUGCUCUCAUAAAAAUAUAUGUUAUAUUAGAGUUUAUUUCAUUUUGUUUUACUCUUUCAUUUUGAUAGAAUAAUGGCCAGAUAUUCUAAAUAGGUGAAUAUGAGACUUAAUAUGUGACUUAAGUCAAAUGGAAUCCAUAUGGCUCUUACUGAGGUAUGGAUUAAAACUCUUCAAAUUCUUCAAACCACUUUUUGUCUUAAAUUGAUAUUUCUUCUCUUCAGGUCUAGUUGAACCUCUCCAAAGUCACUUUACUUCUUGAGCCAUAAUUAUAUCAUUAAUAUGUAAAUGUUUCUUCAUCGUUGAGAUGAGAUGAAACUGUAUAGGUUUUUUAGUUUGUUUUUUGGUACUAUAGGGAUUUAAACCAGGGUCGGAUUUUAUUUUCUUCUUGAGACAGGAUCUUGCUAGGUUUGCCCAGACUAGCCUCAAAACAUGGAAUCCUCCUGCCUCAGCCUCCCAAGUAGCUGGAAUUACAGGUGUGUGCCUCCAUGCCCAAUAAAUUAUAUGGAGUUUUUUAAAGCAAGCACUUUACCUCAGAGUUAUAUCCCCAGCUCUAUUUUAUUUUGAGACAGGGUCUUAAUACGUUUCCCAGGCUAGCCUUGAACUUAUAGUCCUCAUGCCUCUCCCUCCCAAAUUGCUAGGAUUAUGAGUUGAUAUUGUAGCUUGCCUACCCUGUGAGAAACUCUGGGUUCAACCCCUAGUACUGCAAUAAGAAAAAUGUGGUUUACCAAUCGGCUGAGAUUGCCAUAUGCCACUGCAGCUGAUAGGAAACUUUUAACUAAAAGAUAGUAAUGAUAGAUUUCCUGCAAAAGUAUAUUUUUAAAUGAAAGAUCAGGGCUGGGACAUGGCUUAGUGGUAGGUCACUUGGCUAGCUUACAUGAUGCCCUCAUUUAAAUCUCUAAUAAGAGAGAGAUCAUACAAAGGCCAACUAACAGCUUUUAUUUUUGUACAAUAAAUUUUAAAUAAGCAUAAGGUGGAUAUGAUGGAGGAAGAAUCUAAACCUUCCAAUUUUAUUUUUACUUACAGAUAUAAUUUCUUUUUUAAAAUGUAAUUUUUUAAGACACUAGGGAUUUAAUCCAGGAGUGCCCUACCACUGAGCUACAUCCCUAGCGCAUUUGUAUUUUUCUUUUGAGACAGGAUCUCACUAAAAUUUGACCAGACUGCCAAUUAAGUUUCUUGUAAAUGAGUGUCAUCCCCUGGAGUAACAAAGGGGUAGUCCUAGCAGAAGAGGUAAUUUGUGCUUCUCUUUCUCAAUGAAAUUGAUGAUGAACUGUCACAAGGAACAGUAAAUUACUUGGUAGAAAUAAUUCCGACAUCUCUUUUGUUGUUAAAUUAAAAUUUAAUUUCAUGAUUUGGUGCCAGACUGUUUGGAUAAGCAAAGUGUAGGCCAUGAUGUUUUGAAAAUAUUCAGUGAAGCCAUUAAAUAAAAAUUGAAAAUAACCCAAAGAGUUAAUGUUAUGGGAUAUGUAUCUUUCAGAAUAUUUGGAAUACAUUCUAUAAAAAAUUUGGAGAAAUGGAUAAGGGAAAAGAACUUAGUGUAGACUCAGUUAAAUGAUACUUAAAUCGCUUAUUGGAAUUGAAAAUAUCAGGUGGUUUUGGUAAUAAUCUAAUAAAACAUCUGAUUUUGGAUGACUCCAAUUUUUAUAGGUUUUUUCCUUUCUUUUUUGACACUAGUGAUUGAAUCCAAGUGUACGUAAUAUCUGGGCCACAUCCCUAGCUAGACCUUUUUUAGUUUUUAUUUUGAGACUAAGUUGCUGAUAACUAAUCUCAAACUCGCACUCCUUCUGUCUUAGCCUCCUGAGUCACCAGGAUUACAGGUAUGCACCAGCAGUUUUUUGGGUUUAUAGUUUGUUUUUUACAUAAUUGACCUCAACAGUUAAAAUUGUGUUCCAAAAUUGAAUUCCAAAAGUUGUGUCAAAAAUAAACAGAACUUUAU